UUACCUCUCAAUAGUGCUUAGACAAGAUAGCUUUUAAUUUUUUUGCUACAAUGAAAGUCUAAAAAUUGAAAAUUUGGUUUGUGACCCUUCCAAGUAGGCACAGGAAAAUCAAAUAUUUUUCUAAAAGUUAUUGGUUUCAAUGGGGAUCUUAACCUUAUGUACAUCAAGGUUAAUGAGGCUUUAAAAUAAGAAAGCUAUUAGUUGUUGAUGUUAAAGCCUCAGCCUUUCUAUCUUGAAGCAAUGUGAGACCAUAAGACUUAGGAGCAGAAAUUUGGCCAUUCGGCCCAUUGAGUCUGCUCCACCAUUCAGUCAUGGCUGAUACAUUUUCUCAAACCCAUUCUCCUAAUUUCUCCCCAUAACCUUUGAUCCUGUUGACAAUCAAGAAUUCAUCUACCUCUAUCUUAAAUAUACUCAAUCACCUGGCCUCCACAGCCUUCUGUGGUAAUGAAUUCAAGCAUUAUUAGUGUUUUAUCCCGUUGGUAAAAGGUUAGUGCUGCCAAUACAUUAAUGAAAUCUGUCAGUGGCUGCUGAAGAAUUUGUUGCUAACAUCAAUAAAGUUAUAACUUCACUGGCCUAGGAAUAUUUUGACAGAUAUUAUCUUAUUGUAAAAACGGCUGACAUUUCCAAGAUAUUAAAUAUCAAACUGUUAAAUUAUCUCCUUUCCUUGAACUUGCAUUGAUUUUUUUCAAACAUUACUUGGUAUCAUUUGAAAUAAACAUACUACUGUAUCACACUGACCUAUUGGAUGUCCAAUUUAUGGGGGAAUUUUGAAAUUACUGCCAUUUGGACUAACCACUCAAAGUCCAUACAAUCCCUUUGCACAGACACGAGCGCAGAUGUGUUCGUAUCAGAAUUGUAUUGUCAAACCUUUAUGAUAUGAGUUUCACAUGUUUAGCAACAACUGUAUGCUUUAUAUUUACUGUCCGAUUUCAUACUCUUUAACAUUCAUGUUCAACUUGUGUGAUUUCUAACUAUGUUCAAGUCAGACAGCUGAGUGAAUUUAGAGAUGGAAAAUAUAUUUUCAGGAGAUAAGGAUCAUGCCCAUGUUUCAAAAUUAUAAAUUGUAAGGAUUAAUACUAUUGUAUGUUAUUUUACUGCCAGAUUGUUUUUAAUAUUAGGAUUUCCGAAUUUGGUUACGAUCCUUAGAACUAAUUAUGAAAGGACAUUGGAGGUGUGCAUUCCACUGACUGACUCAUUCUGAGUUCAUUUUACACUUCUUUUAACCUGAAUCUCAGGAGAAAGAUUCUGAUUAGGAAUGUUAGACUUCAGAUUUCUAACAGAGUAAACUGUGAGAUGUGUUCAAAUCUGGUGUCAACCAUCCUCAUACCAAGCAAAUCCAAAGGGAAAGAUUUACCAACUGAAAGAUGAAUUUUAAUGCUUUUCAACCUCACUACGUCCUGAGUUGAUCAAAGUAGAAGAUUGACAGUAUCUGUUGAAAAUUAUUCAUGACUGGACUCCCUGCCCUCCAGGCUAAUGAAUACAACAGACAAGCAACAUCGUGAGCCUCCUACUUGUGGCAAAUGCAGCCUCCUGCAUUUAGAAACAAACUGUCUUUUUCAAAUGUUUUCAAUAUCACACCAUUCAUUAUAAAGACAUUCCUCUUUGACAAUCACGAUCAAUCAGAAUCAGAACUUCCAACAAAGGACAGGGAAAGCAUCCUUUGUGAAACAUGUUCUUCUUAAAUUUGUAUUUUUUUCUAAUCAACCUGUUUGGAGAUGCUGUUACACACUUCUGGAGCAGAUUGACUUGAACCCAGAUCUCCUGGCUCAGAGAUGGACACACCAGCACUGUGUCAUGAGACUCCUAACUAUAAAAGUUCAAGGAUCUUUAGAAGCCUCCAGUAGAAUCAAACAGGACCUUCCUAGAUGGGAGGCACUUCCGAUCUCUUGGUUAAGUCGGAUAAGCCUCAUUAAAAUGAACACUCUGCCCUGCCUACUGAAUCCUAUGUGAAUGCUUCCUCAGCUUUUGACUAAGCAAACAUUUAGAAGACUGAACGGCUGGUUCAUUUCCUUUAUCUGGUAUCGCAAGCGACCCCUAAUUAAACUGACUAAACUGCAGUUACUUACAGGCUGGGAGGAGUGGGCCUCCCAGAUAUCAAAAACUAUCAGUUAAGCUCACUGCUACCUUAUGCGAAUGACUGGGCCCGGGGACCCUCACUCACUUUGGUUGGACAUCAAAGCAUCUCAGGCAAGGUUGCCUCUUAUUAGCCUGCUGUUCUUAGACAAAAUGAGAACAGUUAAGGAAUAUUGCCAUAGCCCAAUAGUCAUUAAUAUUGUCAAGGCGUGGAGGGCAAUGCGUCAGAGUGAGGGCAAUAUUGCCAAAACAUAAUUUUUACACCCAUUGUUGGUAUGCAGGUUUUUCAACCAGGGAUGAUGGACUUGGGGUUUAAAUCAUGGGCAGCUAGGGGUGUGUCUUAUCUGGGUGUUUUAUUCAAAGGGGACAUACUGAUGUCCUUUGACCAGCUGGCUUGGAAAUAUGAGUUGCCUAGUAGGGAUCUCUUCUGUUUUUCCCAAAUUAGAAAUUUCAUACAAAAAGAGACCACGCUUCCAACUGACUCUUAUAGGUCCAACAUGGAGAAGAGGGUGCUGGGUGCUGAGGGUACACCUUCUGUUAGCAAUGUUCAUCACCUAUUGGGAGAAAGUCCCUCGGACGAGACUGAACAGCUCUGUAAGGCAUGGGAGAUGCAGCUGGACGUUGAGAUCUCUUCUGAAGUAUGGGAGCAUAUCUAGGAAAAUGGAAGAAGGAUCUCAAUUUGCCAGAGAACCCUUGCCUUAAAAAUGAAGAUUCUCCACAGGGUCUACUUGUCUCCAGACCGCCUCACAAAAUUUAAUGUGGGAGCAUCUCCAAUGUUUCCUAAAUGCAAAUGAGCAUGGGCACGCUUACCCAUUGUCUCUGGUCCUGCCACAGACUGCGGGCAUACUGGAACGCUGUGUAGAUAAAAUAGAGAAGGUCUUGGGGACAGAGGUGGAGAUGGACCAGGUAUCUCUUCUUGGCCUUAUAAAUUCACUUUCAUUAGAUGCACACAAAAAAAGGCUUUUGAAUAUCCUCACUUUUUGUGCACGUAAGAAUAUCUUGUUAGCGUGUGUGUCUGAUAAUCCCCCGAGGUUGUUGGGCUGGCGUCAGCUAGUCAUGGAGCACAUCACCUUAGACUUUCUUACGAGUAUGGUGUGCCAUAAAACUGAGAAUUUUUAUAAGACGUGGUGGUCCUUUUUGGACUACCUGGGCACUGAUUUGUCCGCCAUACUAAUAAGAGCCUUUAUAAAGCCAUAGCAAAUCUGUUUAAUGAAUCUGGUACCCAGAGAGGAGGAACUACAAACAUAUGAGUAUGUAUCAAUUUAUGCGCUCGAUGGUCAAGGUCUAUUGCUUUGUUUCGUUGAGCUGUGUUAUUAUUACUACUGUUAUGAUUUUCCUUUUCUUUAGUUAGUUAUUAGUUCUUAUUUAUCUGUGUAAUUACUGGGUUUAUUUUAACAUUGGUUUGAAUUGUUUGGUUUUGUAUAUGUUGUAAUAUUUUUAAAAAAUUAUCUUCCUUUUGUUUUCAAUAAAAAAUGUAUUUUAACAAAUAACAGAGACCAGUAUGCUUGCCAUCAGUUCAAUCCUCUGGUAUUCAGGAUCUUUUGCAAGUAUUGUGAGAACAUUACUGUAUUUCCACAGUUCAGAUUCUUAGACAGUUCUAAUGUUAGUGUUCAACAUUAAUUUAAUGCUAUUUUAGCAUUACUAGUAUCCCCUUAGUAACCCACACCACUCAAACGUAACUUAAACAAUCCAUUAUUAUAUUGCAAUCUAGGAUGUGAACAUCUUUUUCAUAUUCCACAUUGAGUUUAGUACUGUGAAUUAUUACAAUGAAAUAACUGAAUGGUACAAUCUAAAUAAAACCUGUUAUUGUUAAAUCUUUCCAUGUGGUACAUAUUUUUGAAGUUUAUAUCUUUUUCUCUUUCAAUGGACUGUACAUUUCAGUUGAACUGAAUGCAUUAAUUUACUACCUUGCAGUUUUAGUUAAAAUUACCUUCCCUUGCCUUCCCUUUGGACCUCCAUAUACUUCUAAGUUCUGUAACCUUCUAUUCUCCCAAGGCUGCCUUGGAGUACCUCCAGUUUGUAAUAUCCAUACAUGCAAGUCUUACACUUAAUGUACUAGUGCCAAAGCAAAAUGGGCAG
This is a non-coding RNA of Chiloscyllium plagiosum (whitespotted bambooshark), 4152 nucleotides long. Lineage: Eukaryota; Metazoa; Chordata; Chondrichthyes; Orectolobiformes; Hemiscylliidae. The record is from RefSeq and is a predicted model, not a curated record.